Pteronotus mesoamericanus is the source of this 160-nucleotide small nuclear RNA. RefSeq annotates it as U1 spliceosomal RNA. Lineage: Eukaryota; Metazoa; Chordata; Mammalia; Chiroptera; Mormoopidae. The record is from RefSeq and is a predicted model, not a curated record. The transcript has a single exon.
AUAUUUACCUGGCCGGGGAAAUACCAUGAUCAUGGUGUUUUUCCCAAGGCGAGGCUUAACUUCUGCAUUCUGGAUCUGCUCACCCCUACAAUUUCCCCAAAUGUGGGAAACUUGACGACAUAGUUUAUGUUAGUGGGAGACUGUGCUCUACUCUCCUCUA